RNAcentral lists this ribosomal RNA (468 nucleotides) under uncultured bacterium. RNAcentral describes it as "partial 16S ribosomal RNA". It matches the Rfam family "Bacterial small subunit ribosomal RNA", at positions 28 to 507 of the family's 1533-position model. The record is from RNAcentral.
GACGAACGCUGGCGGCGUGCUUAACACAUGCAAGUCGGACGGAAAGGCCCUGCUUUUGUGGGGUGCUCGAGUGGCGAACGGGUGAGUAACACGUGAGUAACCUGCCCUUGACUUUGGGAUAACUUCAGGAAACUGGGGCUAAUACCGGAUAGGAGCUCCUGCUGCAUGGUGGGGGUUGGAAAGUUUCGGCGGUUGGGGAUGGACUCGCGGCUUAUCGGCUUGUUGGUGGGGUAGUGGCUUACCAAGGCUUUGACGGGUAGGCGGCCUGAGAGGGUGACCGGGCACAUUGGGACUGAGAUACGGACCAGACUCCUACGGGAGGCAGCAGUGGGGAAUAUUGCACAAUGGGCGGAAGCCUGAGACAGCGACGCCGCGUUCGGGAUGACGGCCUUCGGGUUGUGAACCGCUUUCGCCUGUGACGAAGCGUGAGUGACGGUAAUGGGUAAAGAAGCACCGGCUAACUACGUG